CCUACGGGAGGCAGCAGUGAGGAAUAUUGGUCAAUGGGCGCGAGCCUGAACCAGCCAAGUAGCGUGAAGGAUGACUGCCCUUCGGGUUGUAAACUUCUUUUAUAAAGGAAUAAAGUGAGACACGUGUGCCUUUUUGUAUGUACUUUAUGAAUAAGGGUCGGCUAACUCCGUGCCAGCAGCCGCGGUAAUCCGGAGGAUCCGAGCGUUAUCCGGAUGUAUUGGGUUUAAAGGGAGCGUAGAUGGGUUGGUAAGUCAGUUGUGAAAGGUUGCGGCUCAACCGUAAAAUUGCAAUUGAUACUGGCAGCCUGGAGUACAGUUGAGGUAGGCGGAAUUCGUGGUGUAGCAGUGAAAUGCUUAGAUAUCACGAAGAACUCUGAUUGCGAAGGCAGCCUACUAAACUGCCACUGACAUUGAUGCUCGAAAGUGUGGGUAUCAAACAGGAUUAGAUACCCGAGUAGUC
This 460-nucleotide ribosomal RNA is filed under the name uncultured bacterium. RNAcentral's name for it is "partial 16S ribosomal RNA". It matches the Rfam family "Bacterial small subunit ribosomal RNA", at positions 338 to 795 of the family's 1533-position model. The record is from RNAcentral.